Scophthalmus maximus (turbot) is the source of this 680-nucleotide long non-coding RNA. RefSeq lists it as uncharacterized. The transcript has 4 exons. The record is from RefSeq and is a predicted model, not a curated record. NCBI's taxonomy places the organism in Eukaryota, Metazoa, Chordata, Actinopteri, Pleuronectiformes, Scophthalmidae.
CUCACUCGUACGUUUUGGGUCCUGAAAUCCUAGAAUCCCAAUAUGGCGACAUUUCCCUCAUUCAGACAUAUUGAAAUUCUAUCCUUUUUUUCCGAAAACAAUCUUGUUUAUUAUGGCCAGACAUUUGUAGAUUCAUCUUGUUUUUCCCCCCCUUCCAUUUAAAAAAGAAAUAAUUCACAGCUGAUUGCAUGUCAUGUGGAAGUGGGGAUCGAGAGCAAUUCAGAUUUUUCUCUUUGGACAAGCAGCGAUUCAGAGACCGUAACGUCCCUCAGAUUGACACGUGACACUAACACGAGCGCCAGGUUUCCCACGUGUCCUCCACUUGAUUCUCUGAGGGGAUUUUCGAGGUUUGACUGCUGCUGCUGCGACUUCAUCGUCUCAUCGUGACCUCUGCCCCCGUGGUAAUUGCACCGGAUGUCUUUGCAAAGACCCUCUCAAAAGAGACGAACCUGGAGUCAAGGCGAGCGUCAUCCGUUGGACAGAACGCAGUGGUGGUCGACAUCCUGCCGCCGCCGCUCCCGGAAGUUCCAGUUAAAAAUAGACAGGUAUCUGAUGGUGGUGCCAGGUGAAGAGUCAGAGGCUCAACAGUCAUCAUGAACAUCCAUCCAUCGUCUACCGCUUUAUCCAUCUAAGGGCUGCGGGGGGGCUGGAGCCAAUCCCAGCUGACAUUGGGCGAGAGG